Ictalurus furcatus (blue catfish) is the source of this 2270-nucleotide long non-coding RNA. RefSeq lists it as uncharacterized. The record is from RefSeq and is a predicted model, not a curated record. Lineage: Eukaryota; Metazoa; Chordata; Actinopteri; Siluriformes; Ictaluridae. The transcript has 5 exons.
GCGUUUGUUUCUGUUUGUUCUCUGCCUUGCUUAGCCAUUGGUUGAUUUUCGAGGGGGUGUAAGGAUUGUUACCAGCUGUUAACACUCAAGGAUUGGUUUCCUUCAGAACUAUUGGAAGCCAUGUCUCAAGAUCUUUACAAGGGAACUGCUUGAUGCUGUAUUCUACUGAAGGCCAUCACGGGUUGGGCAUCUCAAACUGUGGGGGUCCAACAAACUGUAGAUAAACACAAAGAUCUUCAGGAACUCUUUAGUGGAGGGUGACUGGAGAGAUUUGACUGUGAUUGAAGCUGGGAAUCCAUUAUCUCCAAGGAACUGCAAAAAAACAGAGAAACAACCAGUGACUGUAGCAAAGCCACUUCCACCACUGGAGAAAAGCUCAGCAUAUGUCCUCAGAAAACACCUUGACUCCAGGAUAUGGGGACAACCUUGUGGAUUUGGAGGAGUAUGGUCCUGAAGAGAGAGCCUAAAGACAUUCUGGGCCGUUCACUGUCCUCGUCUGAGUUCUAACACACACUUUCCAUUCCUCAGUCAUGUCCUGUAUUACAGCACUGCUCGACUGGUUCCCAUCUCUCAGGGUACAAGGAAAGCAUGCAUCAAGGCAUCAAGGAUGGUGGAAUUAACUUCCUCUAGAUGUCCUAUAUGUCUUAAAAUGCCGACUACUGUAAAUACCUACCUCUUCAUGGAGUACUUAAAUUAGCACUUUAUUAAAACAAUUGUGUUGUGUUGUCUGUAUGUUUUUCUUACUAUUUUACCUCCCCAACAGAGUUUUUUUAGACUGAUAUUACUCUUUAUCUGUGACCCUGUGAACCAGUAUCAGGAUAUGUUUAUUGCCAGAGACUUCUAAGCACUCCCGUAAGUUGCUCUUGAUAAGAACAGCUACCAAAUGCCAUAAAUAUAAACGUCUUGGGAUAUUUAAGGACUUAUUCAUGGACACCAGUGUACAGUAAUGUACAUUAUUUACACCAAAAUAUAUUACUGUACAUUAAUGUUCUUAAGUAUUUCAUUAAAGUAUUUCAGUAUUUCAAUUUUUGCAGACAUUAUACGUCCACUCAACAACAUUCCAAAGCAAAAUAUCCUACUUUUAAUCUGUUACUUUCUGCAGCGUGCCAAUCAUUACUUAAAAAAACCCAACAGUACUCAUCUACACAUACAGAUAAAUCAUGUAUGGUUCCAUCUGGAUGGCAACCCUCUUCUUUCUCUGAUGGAUUAGCAUGCAGCUAACUUUGAGUGUUUUGUUUCAUUUGAUUUUUAACAGAACAUUUCAGAGGGAUUGCAUAUCAUUGGAUGCAACUGUAAAUAGACAGAAAAAUAAGGAAUAUUUUCUUCACAAAUCUAUCAAACUUCACAAAAAUAUUUAGGUCAGAAUGCCUUUAUGGAACUAAGUUUACCAGAGGAGUCAGCUUGAAUAAGAAGAUUAAUUCACAACCUGCACUGUAGACAGACAUACCUACUGUAUCAAGGGUGUGGAGGGGGAUAUUUUCGGCGUGGGCAGUGGACACAUACGCUCUUGUUUUGCUCUGCAGUAUAACUAAAAUAACUUUAGUUAACUUUAGUACUUUUAUUUUUUACACUUAAGUACACAUAAAAGCAGGACCUUUUGUACUUUAACAAAGAAAAAUGGAAAUAGAAGACUUUUACUUUUACUCAAGUAGUAGUUUAGCACAUGCAUAUCUACUUUCACUUAAGUACAAGAUUUCUGUACUUUGUUCACCAAUGUUCAUGUGCUAGCUCAAUACGAGGUCUUGCCAAUUCUGAGCUGUUGUUUCCUGCCAUUGAUUCCUGUAUAUGACCCUUGGCUUGUUUGUUAUUGCUCUGUUGGAUUUUGCCCUUUGAUAGAGGUUUAUCUGCAUAAUGGGUACCUUGACUUCCUGCUUGGUUUAUGACUGCUUUGGAUUUGGUGAUAUUUCAUUAAACCCCCAGCACAUAAAAUCUCAGUGGCCACUGGUGGUGCUGUUGUGCUUGGUUUCACAAAAUUACAAAAUAAUCCACAUUAAAACAGUAUAAAUUAUUUGUUAACAACAAAUAACCUGAAGUCAGUUCCAAAUAUGAAACCAUAUAUCAAUGUAUUUAAAAAAUCUAUAUUUUAACGACAGGGGACUUAGCUCUGCUAGCCCUUUUAUAUAUCUGUAAUGAUCCUAUACUUAAAAUAUAUGCCAAUACAUAUCCAAAUAAAAUUUUUAUUUAAUAACAAACUGAAUACAUCCAUGACCUGUAACUGAAUGUAAAACUUUACUGGCUAUUAAAAUCCUUCAAUCAUUGCAUCCUGAUGC